RNAcentral lists this ribosomal RNA (468 nucleotides) under uncultured bacterium. RNAcentral describes it as "partial 16S ribosomal RNA". It matches the Rfam family "Bacterial small subunit ribosomal RNA", at positions 28 to 507 of the family's 1533-position model. The record is from RNAcentral.
GAUGAACGCUGGCGGCGUGCUUAACGCAUGCAAGUCGAACGGAAAGGCCCAAGCUUGCUUGGGUACUCGAGUGGCGAACGGGUGAGUAACACGUGGGUGAUCUGCCCUGCACUUCGGGAUAAGCCUGGGAAACUGGGUCUAAUACCGGAUAGGACGAUGGUUUGGAUGCCAUUGUGGAAAGUUUUUUCGGUGUGGGAUGAGCUCGCGGCCUAUCAGCUUGUUGGUGGGGUAAUGGCCUACCAAGGCGUCGACGGGUAGCCGGCCUGAGAGGGUGUACGGCCUCAUUGGGACUGAGAUACGGCCCAGACUCCUACGGGAGGCAGCAGUGGGGAAUAUUGCACAAUGGGCGCAAGCCUGAUGCAGCGACGCCGCGUGGGGGAUGACGGCCUUCGGGUUGUAAACUCCUUUCGCUAGGGACGAAGCGUUUUUGUGACGGUACCUGGAGAAGAAGCACCGGCUAACUACGUG